GCACCGUUUUGUUAAACAAAUUUUUUUUUCAUUUCUUCAUCUCACCACGCCGAGCUCUCCCUUUUGUCUUUCCGAUCUGGAGCUUUCUCCAGAAGCCAAAAACCAACCAUGGCUGAGCCUCCAUGACUCUUUCUUCGAUCAGCCUAAGUCUAAGCCUCCUCAACCAUCAACUCUACUCACUGAAAAUCACUCUCUUCCCUCUUCAAUCUCACCAAUCUAAACGGAGUAGAGCCUCCAUGGUGAACCUCAGCCAACACCACCACAAAACCCCAUACCCCAAACCCACUCACUGAAAAUCACUCUCUUCCCCAUCUGAUUCUCAUUCCCUCAAAACCCCAAACCCACUCUUCAAUCUAUAAGCCAGAGGGCCCUAGACGACGUGUGGAUUUUGGUGUGGAUCGGCGUUGGAGUCUUUCCCUUCUCUCUCUCUCGUGGUCUUUGCGGCGGCGCCAUGGUGUGGGCGAUACAAUUCAGAUUGAUGACACAACAAUCUAUUCUGUUGGGGGCAAGAGUGAGAGCUUUCUCAGCUACUUAUUUCCUGGAUCGGGUGAGUUUAGCUCUCUCGUUUCUAAGACAUAAAACCUUCAAUAGGUUUCUUUGUUUUUUGUUGUCUUUUUUUCAAUUAUUAAAAUCGCCUAUGAUAAGUUCUUGAUUAUUGUUGGUUGAAUUUACCGAUCUUCUUUGUAAUAAUAGCGUGUUCCGUAGUGAGAAGUAGAACGACAGUAUGAAUUCUCUUAUCACUUUUAGAAGGAUAUUAUUGUUAAAUUAUUGAUUCUCACAAAAGUUUAAACUAUUGAGAAGUGAUAAAUUUAAUAAUUUAACCACAUAAUUUUAACAAUCCAUCUCAUCUGGACUCAAACUCCCUUUUAAUAAGUGCGACCCAAUUCAUGGGAUUUUAAAUUAGUUGUAGAGUGAAAGAGAUAAGAAUCAAACUUAGGACAUUAUGCUUUAAAUGACAAAGAAUCCUUGUUCAUUUUUUGUUUCAGUAAAAAAUUAUAAUGGGGUAUUUUAGUCAUGUAGAAACAAAAUUCAUCCACCUAUCAUGUUAAAGCCAAAUUCUUCUCAAUCCAUAGUAGUAUUAAAAUGAGAAAUGGUAUAUUUAGAAAAUUUUUAUAACACUUUCACUACAAAUUCAAGUAAUAUGUUGUUUUUUGUUAUUACUGGUGAGCAAAAAAGUAAUUUUAGUGGGAGACUCAAAUUAAAACUAGCACCUAGAAUUUGUUGUAAAAAUGUUAUAAAAUUAGUAAUUAAAAUUUUAAUCCAAACCAAUAUAAUUUAAAAAUCACAAACCUUACUAUUUGAAUUAGGUCAAGUCCGAAAAGUCACUUAAUUCAAUCAAAUGUCAUUCUUGCAUUUGAAACCUUAUAUAUCCAAAGUCUGUCAUCUAUAUUGGUGCAACCAUCAUCUCUUUUAAGCAUUCAUUUGGUUGGAGAGAUAGAAAAGUGAGAGGAUAGAAUAUAUUUAGUUUUUCGUCAUAUGUGUUUGGUUGGAAUGAUGGAAAAGUGGAGAGAUAGAAAACUAUUUUGUUUGGUUAAGAAGAAAAGUGAGAAUAGAAAAUAUGGUUUGUAUAAAUUUACCCUACUACCCUUAUACAAAAAUUUUCACAAAAGGCUAGAUUCAAUUAUCUUUUAUUGAAAAAAAAAAAAAAAAAAAAAAACCCUAAUGCACAAAUUAUAAAAUAUAAAAUAAAAUAAAAACCACACACCAAAUACAAAACACACACGGUCCAAAUAAAUAAAUAAAAAUCCAUGCAAUAUAUAAAAAGAAAACUUGAAAACCCUAUUAAAAAAAAUACAAAACUCAAACACUAUUAAUUUGCUAAUCCGACAAAGAACGAUAUGGCAAUUGGAGCUCUAGAUGGGUGACUAGAGAGGACAAUGACGCAGGUGGAGGACCAUUGGCGGAGGUUAAGCGGGGCGAGCGAAUACGACAACCAUAAAUCCAACGAACAAUUGGUUUGUUGUAGAUGUGAGAUGUACAAUAGAGAUCUAUGGGUCUUACAGUGUCAGCUUGGCUUGAAACUUGCCAUGAAUCGUCCUUGACUUGACUGGAAUCAUCCUUGAUUCAAUUGUUCUUGUGAGGGUAUUUGUGUCAUUCUAUUUAGAAACCCAUUUUUCACGUCUUUUCUCUCUAAUUUGAGAGAUUGUCUUUUGGUGGGUCUAAGGAGAAAACACUUGAGCCCCACCAAAAUCCUUCCCAUUUUCUCCCCAACCAAACACUCCAAAAAACCAUUUUUUAUCUACUUUUUUCUCCCCAUUUUUCUCUCUCCUAAAAUCUUCCCAACCAAACGAGGCCAGAUUAAACAAAUUCUUGACGGAUAUGUAAACUGUGCACCUUGUUAUCUUUAAGAAGUAGCUCCACUAAUGGUGAUUAUCCACACAAUCAAAAGUAAAAUGUUGUGUUCAUGGUUAUUAAACUGUACUUAUUUUUCAUUUUUUGUUUAACUAUAUAACUGAAUUUAACAUCUCAUCAACAAAUUUAAAAGAAAGAAAUAAUAAGUUCAGUUAUCAAACAAAAGAUGAGAAAUAAGUACAGGCUUGAUAUGUGUUAAGAACAAGACUAAGGGUGUAGUUGAAUUGAAGAAGGGUAAAGCAGAAAUGAAGGAAAGAUGUAAGUCUGGUUUGAAGAACACUGCACAAACAAAGCAGGGUAAUCAAAGGCUGAAUCAAAAGAAGCUUAAAGUAUGGUUAAAGAAGAUUAUUGUUGCAAUAUUAAAGAGUUAAAUAGAAGCGUGUGAGUUGCACGUGAGAAUGAGUAAUCGGUUAUUUAGUUAGCAGUAGAAUGACACUUGUCAUAAGCUUAUUGGGGGAGCAAAAUUAGGAAAUUCUGUUAGAGUUUGUUAGAGGUUUUCCCGCGUUUUUCUUCUUCUUUCUGGUCUGUAACUUCUAGUAUAAAUAGGUAUUGAUAUGUGUAAAUUAGUCAGUCCUUUGUAAUACAUAGAUUGAGCAAUAAAGUUUUCUCUCUUUCACUCAGAA
This is a long non-coding RNA of Quercus robur (English oak), 2975 nucleotides long. RefSeq lists it as uncharacterized. Lineage: Eukaryota; Viridiplantae; Streptophyta; Magnoliopsida; Fagales; Fagaceae. The transcript has 2 exons. The record is from RefSeq and is a predicted model, not a curated record.